UACGGGGGGGGCAAGCGUUGUUCGGAAUUACUGGGCGUAAAGGGCUCGUAGGUGGCCAACUAAGUCGGACGUGAAAUCCCUCAGCUUAACUGGGGAACUGCGUCCGAUACUGGAUGGCUUGAGUUUGGGAGAGGGAUGCGGAAUUCCGGGUGUAGCGGUGAAAUGCGUAGAUAUCCGGAGGAACACCGGUGGCGAAGGCGGCUUCCUGGACCGAUUACUGACGCUGAGGCGCGAAAGCUAGGGGAGCAAACGGG
RNAcentral lists this ribosomal RNA (254 nucleotides) under uncultured bacterium. Its description in RNAcentral is "partial 16S ribosomal RNA". It matches the Rfam family "Bacterial small subunit ribosomal RNA", at positions 524 to 776 of the family's 1533-position model. The record is from RNAcentral.